This 253-nucleotide ribosomal RNA is filed under the name uncultured bacterium. RNAcentral's name for it is "partial 16S ribosomal RNA". It matches the Rfam family "Bacterial small subunit ribosomal RNA", at positions 524 to 776 of the family's 1533-position model. The record is from RNAcentral.
UACGUAGGGUGCAAGCGUUGUCCGGAAUUAUUGGGCGUAAAGAGCUCGUAGGCGGCUUGUCACGUCGACUGUGAAAACCCGGGGCUCAACUCCGGGCCUGCAGUCGAUACGGGCUGGCUUGAGUGCGGUAGGGGAGACUGGAAUUCCUGGUGUAGCGGUGAAAUGCGCAGAUAUCAGGAGGAACACCGGUGGCGAAGGCGGGUCUCUGGGCAGUAACUGACGCUGAGGAGCGAAAGCGUGGGGAGCGAACAGG